GCCUAUUAAGUUAAUUUUUAUAUAUGGUAAAACCACUUCAGCCUUCUUGCCUUGAGAACCCUGUGAACAGUAUGAAGAGGCAAAAAAGUAAUGAGAUCCCCAAGAACGGUUGCUGGCAGCCCACUACUGCUGUUGCUGGGGGCUGAGGGUUGAGUGGGUCUGAGUGCUUGCCUGUGAGCAAUUCAGGGCCCCAAGAGAUUCCCAAAGAAACUGCUGCUCUGAGGUUAUUCAUCUGAUGGGAAGACGCUGGUGAGAAAAGACAACAUUUUCUGGGGACCUGCAGAUUGUGUAGCCAGUCCCACCUGUAGGGCAUCAGAAAAGAGACAUUUCACCUGAAGUUUCUGGGUCAAAAGGCCCCAUGGGAAGGGAGAGGGACCUCCAAGCUGCAGGUCUGAUGAAAGCAAGCACGACAGAGCAAGGCGCUGGAGACUGGAGGUGCCAGCUUCUCAUCAAGCCCUUUAAUGAGAAAGCUCUCACGGCAAACCCAGACUGGGGUGGGGGAAGGAUCGGAGGGGUGAGUCAGCCUCACUAUCUGCCUGUCCAGGUCUAU
This is a long non-coding RNA of Dama dama (fallow deer), 550 nucleotides long. RefSeq lists it as uncharacterized. The transcript is spliced from 3 exons. The record is from RefSeq and is a predicted model, not a curated record. NCBI's taxonomy places the organism in Eukaryota, Metazoa, Chordata, Mammalia, Artiodactyla, Cervidae.